Molecule: ribosomal RNA, 454 nt
Filed under: uncultured bacterium
Lineage: Bacteria
Description: bacterial SSU rRNA
Rfam family: Bacterial small subunit ribosomal RNA
Source: RNAcentral
UACGGGAGGCAGCAGGGGGAAUAUUGCACAAUGGGCGCAAGCCUGAUGCAGCCAUGCCGCGUGUAUGAAGAAGGCCUUCGGGUUGUAAAGUACUUUCAGUCGUGAGGAAGGUGUUAAGGUUAAUAACCUUAGCAAUUGACGUUAGCGACAGAAGAAGCACCGGCUAACUCCGUGCCAGCAGCCGCGGUAAUACGGAGGGUGCGAGCGUUAAUCGGAAUUACUGGGCGUAAAGGGCACGCAGGCGGUUAAUUAAGUUGGAUGUGAAAUCCCCGGGCUUAACCUGGGAAUGGCAUUCAAGACUGGUUAGCUAGAGUCUUGUAGAGGGGGUUAGAAUUCCAUGUGUAGCGGUGAAAUGCGUAGAGAUGUGGAGGAAUACCGGUGGCGAAGGCGGCCCCUGGACAAAGACUGACGCUCAUGUGCGAAAGCGUGGGGAGCAAACGAGGGAUUAGAUACC